This is a long non-coding RNA of Magnolia sinica, 422 nucleotides long. RefSeq lists it as uncharacterized. Lineage: Eukaryota; Viridiplantae; Streptophyta; Magnoliopsida; Magnoliales; Magnoliaceae. The transcript has 2 exons. The record is from RefSeq and is a predicted model, not a curated record.
CUCUCCAUCUUUCCGUGGAAACUUCAAAUCAAAUCCUCAUCCAUUCCUGAUUAUAGAAAAAUGGCAGAUAAAAAGGUAGCAACGAUGGUGUUGAAGAUUGAUCUUGACCGCGAUCCCUGCUUCAAGAAGAUCAAAACAGCUCUCAGCAAAUUCUGUGGUGAGUAUCUCUCUCUCUCUCUCUCUAACAUCGAUAUACAUGCACACGCGUUAUCUACUCACCAGAGUGGCCAUUCAAUCUCGCAUCUCAGUGCGAAAUCGGAACCAUUGAUCAAGUAACGCCCGCUGCGGAUGUAUCUCAGACAGGCUGAUCCACACUUAAACAGUGAAAAAUAACAGACGGUCCUGUUUCACUCGCCAAUAAGAGUAUGUGUGGCCUGAUUUUUUAGUACGGGAAUUAGCAAGUAGGCCAUCCCCAAUAUGAA